GAUGAACGCUGGCGGCGUGCCUAAUACAUGCAAGUCGAGCGAACGGACGAGAAGCUUGCUUCUCUGAUGUUAGCGGCGGACGGGUGAGUAACACGUGGAUAACCUACCUAUAAGACUGGGAUAACUUCGGGAAACCGGAGCUAAUACCGGAUAAUAUUUUGAACCGCAUGGUUCAAAAGUGAAAGACGGUCUUGCUGUCACUUAUAGAUGGAUCCGCGCUGCAUUAGCUGGUUGGUAAGGUAACGGCUUACCAAGGCAACGAUGCAUAGCCGACCUGAGAGGGUGAUCGGCCACACUGGAACUGAGACACGGUCCAGACUCCUACGGGAGGCAGCAGUAGGGAAUCUUCCGCAAUGGGCGAAAGCCUGACGGGGCAACGCCGCGUGAGUGAUGAAGGUCUUCGGAUCGUAAAACUCUGUUAUUAGGGAAGAACAUAUGUGUAAGUAACUGUGCACAUCUUGACGGUACCUAAUCAGAAAGCCACGGCUAACUACGUG
Molecule: ribosomal RNA, 497 nt
Filed under: uncultured bacterium
Lineage: Bacteria
Description: partial 16S ribosomal RNA
Rfam family: Bacterial small subunit ribosomal RNA
Source: RNAcentral